AUACGGAGGGUCCGAGCGUUAAUCGGAAUUACUGGGCGUAAAGCGUACGUAGGUGGCUUGAUUAGUCGGAUGUGAAAGCCCCGGGCUUAACCUGGGAAUUGCAUUCGAUACUGUCAGGCUAGAAUGUAGUAGAGGGAAGCGGAAUUCCGGGUGUAGCGGUGAAAUGCGUAGAUAUCCGGAGGAACAUCAGUGGCGAAGGCGGCUUCCUGGACUAACAUUGACGCUGAGGUGCGAAAGCGUGGGGAGCAAACAGGAUUAGAAACCCCAGUAGUCC
This 274-nucleotide ribosomal RNA is filed under the name uncultured bacterium. Its description in RNAcentral is "partial 16S ribosomal RNA". It matches the Rfam family "Bacterial small subunit ribosomal RNA", at positions 523 to 796 of the family's 1533-position model. The record is from RNAcentral.